This is a non-coding RNA of Microcebus murinus (gray mouse lemur), 60 nucleotides long. The record is from Rfam. Lineage: Eukaryota; Metazoa; Chordata; Mammalia; Primates; Cheirogaleidae.
GGGAAACGAGAUGGGGGCUGGGGCUAUGAGCCAUCCCGAGCCCUAAGAAGCAUAGGCUCA